GUAGCGUGGGAAUCUGCCUUACGCUGGGACAAGCCCUGGAACGGGGUCUAUUCCGGAUCGACUGCGGGAGGCAUCUCCUGUGGUGGAAAGCUCCGGCGGUGAAGGAUGAGCCCGCGGCCUAUCAGCUUGUUGGUGGGGUAAUGGCCUACCAAGGCGACGACGGGUAGCCGGCCUGAGAGGGCGACCGGCCACACUGGGACUGAGACACGGCCCAGACUCCUACGGGAGGCAGCAGUGGGGAAUAUUGCACAAUGGGCGAAAGCCUGAUGCAGCGACGCCGCGUGAGGGAUGACGGCCUUCGGGUUGUAAACCUCUUUCAGCAGGGAAGAAGCGAAAGUGACGGUACCUGCANAANAAGCGCCGGCUAACUACGUGCCAGCAGCCGCGGUAAUACGUAGGGCGCAAGCGUUUGUCCGGAAUUAUUGGGCCGUAAAAGAGCUCGUAGGCUGGUUGUCACGUCCGAUGUGAAAAGCCCGAGGCUUAACCUCCGGGUUCUGCAUUCGAUCCGGGCUUAGCUAGAGUGUUGGUACGGGGAAAAUCGGGAAUGCCUGGGUGUUAUCCGGU
Molecule: ribosomal RNA, 564 nt
Filed under: bacterium A40
Lineage: Bacteria
Description: bacterial SSU rRNA
Rfam family: Bacterial small subunit ribosomal RNA
Source: RNAcentral